RNAcentral lists this ribosomal RNA (976 nucleotides) under Sphingobacterium anhuiense. Its description in RNAcentral is "bacterial SSU rRNA". It matches the Rfam family "Bacterial small subunit ribosomal RNA", at positions 543 to 1533 of the family's 1533-position model. Lineage: Bacteria; Pseudomonadati; Bacteroidota; Sphingobacteriia; Sphingobacteriales; Sphingobacteriaceae. The record is from RNAcentral.
AUCCGGAUUUAUUGGGUUUAAAGGGUGCGUAGGCGGUCCUAUAAGUCAGUGGUGAAAGACGGCAGCUUAACUGUCGCAGUGCCUUUGAUACUGUAGGACUUGAAUCUAUUUGAAGUGGGCGGAAUAAGACAAGUAGCGGUGAAAUGCAUAGAUAUGUCUUAGAACUCCGAUUGCGAAGGCAGCUCACUAAGUUAGUAUUGACGCUGAUGCACGAAAGCGUGGGGAUCAAACAGGAUUAGAUACCCUGGUAGUCCACGCCCUAAACGAUGAUAACUCGAUGUUUGCGAUACACAGUAAGCGUCCAAGCGAAAGCGUUAAGUUAUCCACCUGGGGAGUACGGUCGCAAGAUUGAAACUCAAAGGAAUUGACGGGGGCCCGCACAAGCGGAGGAGCAUGUGGUUUAAUUCGAUGAUACGCGAGGAACCUUACCCGGGCUUGAAAGUUAGUGAAUGAUCCAGAGACGGAUCAGUCCUUCGGGACACGAAACUAGGUGCUGCAUGGCUGUCGUCAGCUCGUGCCGUGAGGUGUUGGGUUAAGUCCCGCAACGAGCGCAACCCCUAUGUUUAGUUGCCAGCACAUAAUGGUGGGGACUCUAAACAGACUGCCAGCGUAAGCUGUGAGGAAGGUGGGGACGACGUCAAGUCAUCAUGGCCCUUACGUCCGGGGCUACACACGUGCUACAAUGGACGGUACAGCGGGCAGCUACAUAGCAAUAUGAUGCUAAUCUCUAAAAGCCGUUCACAGUUCGGAUUGAGGUCUGCAACUCGACCUCAUGAAGUUGGAUUCGCUAGUAAUCGCGUAUCAGCAAUGACGCGGUGAAUACGUUCCCGGGCCUUGUACACACCGCCCGUCAAGCCAUGAAAGUUGGGGGUACCUAAAGCAUGUAACCGCAAGGAGCGUGUUAGGGUAAAACCGAUAAUUGGGGCUAAGUCGUAACAAGGUAGCCGUACCGGAAGGUGCGGCUGGAUCACAACAA